Molecule: transfer RNA, 69 nt
Filed under: Leptobrachium boringii (Emei moustache toad)
Lineage: Eukaryota; Metazoa; Chordata; Amphibia; Anura; Megophryidae
Description: tRNA-His
Rfam family: tRNA
About the family: Transfer RNA (tRNA) molecules are approximately 80 nucleotides in length. Their secondary structure includes four short double-helical elements and three loops (D, anti-codon, and T loops). Further hydrogen bonds mediate the characteristic L-shaped molecular structure. tRNAs have two regions of fundamental functional importance: the anti-codon, which is responsible for specific mRNA codon recognition, and the 3' end, to which the tRNAs corresponding amino acid is attached (by aminoacyl-tRNA synthetases). tRNAs cope with the degeneracy of the genetic code in two manners: having more than one tRNA (with a specific anti-codon) for a particular amino acid; and 'wobble' base-pairing, i.e. permitting non-standard base-pairing at the 3rd anti-codon position.
Source: RNAcentral
GCAAGUAUAGUUUAAAUAAAACACUAGAUUGUGAUUCUAGGAAUAGAAGUUAAACCCUUCUUACCCGCC